GCUUAGUGGAAGAAGCCAGCUGGAUUCCCUUAUCUGCUUCUGCAUUCAAUCUGUUACAAUCUGUUGUUUUGGUUGAAGUAUAUGAAGAAAAUCUCUGGAAGCACUGAAAAAAUAUUACUCUGAGAAGGGGAAAAUAGUCACCAGACUGUUAGAGGGACCUACGAUACAAGAAUAUGAAGAACACGAGGAUUUCAGAAAGAGCUGGAGAGACCUCCAUGAACUGAUGCAAAGUGAAAUAAGCAGAACCAGGAGAACAUUGUACACGGUAACGGCAAUAUUGUGGAGUGAUCAAAAGUGAUAGACUUACUUGCUAACAGUUUCUUCAUCUGUCAUCAUGAUUCAGGACAAUUCUGAGGGCCUUAGGACAAAGACUGCUAUCCACCUGUACAGACAACUCUCAGAGUAGAAAUGCAGAUGAAAAAUAUGAUUUAUCACUUGUUUAUUUGAGGAUAUGUUUUGGGGUUUUGGUUCUAUAAGGUUAUUCACUUAUAAAAAUGAAUAGAAUGGAAAUAUGUUUUGCAUGAUGACACAUGUAUAACCUAGAUUGAAUUGCUUGUCACCUCUGGGAAGGGGCAGGGAAGAGGGGAGGGAGACAGUAGGGAUCUUAUGACUCUGGAAAAUAUACGUGGAAAUCUGUUAUUAAAAAUAUCUCUCUGGUGCUAAUAAAAAAUAAUGAAGAAAAGAAAAAGAAAAGAAU
This 697-nucleotide long non-coding RNA is filed under the name Monodelphis domestica (gray short-tailed opossum). Its description in RNAcentral is "lncRNA (ENSMODG00000047214.1)". The record is from RNAcentral. Lineage: Eukaryota; Metazoa; Chordata; Mammalia; Didelphimorphia; Didelphidae.